UUUCUAUCAUUCUUUGCAUCAUCCCUCUUUCUCAGGACUCCCUAUGAGCAUUCUGCGAAUCUGUGGACUCCUGAAGAAAAAGCUGAGAAAGGAAGCAAUUGGAAGGGACAAAGAAUGAAAUGCAGCUUCUUCACAACCAUCCACAGUUACUGUGGAAUAUGUGAAACCCAGGAGCUUGCUGCUGGCUGGGGAAGCUUGAGAAGUCAAUAUGGAUAGCAUUGUCAAAGGCUGGAGGGAGGUGCCAAGAGCCUAGAGCAAAGCAGAAUGACUGUGGACCUAUACAUGCAAAAAUCUCAUCUUUGGGCCUACAGUGCCUCAGGGAUGCAUUGUGCCUCCAUGAUCUCAAGGUCACUACUGAUGGUGAAUUAUCUGUAAAGAAAGGAUUAUUUGCCAAGAAAGAGAAAUAACCCAAACCUUUGCAAUACUGACCUGUCACAGGCUCUUGGUAUUCUGUUGAGCUGAAGGAUGGCCUGUAACAACAUCAGCUUAUUUUCAUAAGCAAUGCAAGACCUACUCCAAGCUGAGCA
RNAcentral lists this long non-coding RNA (527 nucleotides) under Coturnix japonica (Japanese quail). RNAcentral's name for it is "lncRNA (ENSCJPG00005016595.1)". Lineage: Eukaryota; Metazoa; Chordata; Aves; Galliformes; Phasianidae. The record is from RNAcentral.